Molecule: ribosomal RNA, 673 nt
Filed under: Bacteroides fragilis
Lineage: Bacteria; Pseudomonadati; Bacteroidota; Bacteroidia; Bacteroidales; Bacteroidaceae
Description: bacterial SSU rRNA
Rfam family: Bacterial small subunit ribosomal RNA
Source: RNAcentral
ACAAUGAAGAGUUUGAUCCUGGCUCAGGAUGAACGCUAGCUACAGGCUUAACACAUGCAAGUCGAGGGGCAUCAGGAAGAAAGCUUGCUUUCUUUGCUGGCGACCGGCGCACGGGUGAGUAACACGUAUCCAACCUGCCCUUUACUCGGGGAUAGCCUUUCGAAAGAAAGAUUAAUACCCGAUGGCAUAAUGAUUCCGCAUGGUUUCAUUAUUAAAGGAUUCCGGUAAAGGAUGGGGAUGCGUUCCAUUAGGUUGUUGGUGAGGUAACGGCUCACCAAGCCUUCGAUGGAUAGGGGUUCUGAGAGGAAGGUCCCCCACAUUGGAACUGAGACACGGUCCAAACUCCUACGGGAGGCAGCAGUGAGGAAUAUUGGUCAAUGGGCGCUAGCCUGAACCAGCCAAGUAGCGUGAAGGAUGAAGGCUCUAUGGGUCGUAAACUUCUUUUAUAUAAGAAUAAAGUGCAGUAUGUAUACUGUUUUGUAUGUAUUAUAUGAAUAAGGAUCGGCUAACUCCGUGCCAGCAGCCGCGGUAAUACGGAGGAUCCGAGCGUUAUCCGGAUUUAUUGGGUUUAAAGGGAGCGUAGGUGGACUGGUAAGUCAGUUGUGAAAGUUUGCGGCUCAACCGUAAAAUUGCAGUUGAUACUGUCAGUCUUGAGUACAGUAGAGGUGGGCGG